This 294-nucleotide ribosomal RNA is filed under the name uncultured bacterium. Its description in RNAcentral is "partial 16S ribosomal RNA". It matches the Rfam family "Bacterial small subunit ribosomal RNA", at positions 30 to 329 of the family's 1533-position model. The record is from RNAcentral.
CCUGAACGCUGGCGGCGUGGCUAAGACAUGCAAGUCGAACGGGUGUAGCAAUACACCAGUGGCGGACGGGUGAGUAAUGUAUCGCUAACGUGCCCUGGAAUCUGAGAUAGCCAAUCGAAAGGUUGGGUAAUACCAGAUGAAAUAUCCUUAUCGCAUGAUGAGGAUCUCAAAGGAGCAAUCCGGUCUGGGAGCGGGCGAUAUCGUAUCAGCUAGUUGGUGAGGUAACGGCUCACCAAGGCGACGACGCGUAGCCGGGCUGAGAGGUCGGCCGGCCACAUUGGGACUGAGACACUG